AGUCACAUUUCGGGUAUGGGUCACCAUACUUGACAAAUAAUUGAAUUAUUAUUAUUUAAAACUGAAAUGUUAUUUUCACAUAAUCAAUGUGUUGUGUCCCACAUUUUAGGUUGCCAAGUGGAGUUGUGUACAAAAGGAACAAAAAGCCAUUUUUUGGACAUCUGGCAUAUUGACAGUCUAGGGAACGCUUUAGAGGGUGUGAGGGCCAGCUGUUUUUAACCACCUCUACUGGAUUGCAGCUUCCACUCCUAAUGGAGAUGGAGAUGUGAUGGAGGCCAAGUGGAAAAGCAUGGUUAACAAUGUUCAGAACAUCCAUGAACACGACACUCCAAUGUUUCUCUGCUGUGCACAUGCAUGCCUGGAGGGGGAAGUAAGGAACAAGGCGUGGAUGGAACCAGCAUAUGCAUCAGCCCUCAUGGAGUCUCUGAUACCGCUUUUCCACCGGGGCUGGUGUUGGAGCCGGAGCUGGUUCUGGGCCGAGGGUGGUGCUCUUCAGAACCGGCUCGCGUUUCCACUGUCAAGGAACGGAACCCUCUACGUCACUCAACUCAACUUUAUUUAUAUAGCGCUUUUACAAUUUUCAUUGUUACAAAGCAGCUGUACAUGAGACAUAUUGACUAUAAGCAAAAUAAUUAAAGUUGUACCUGCAAAAACAAGAAAAGGUUGAAAACACAGAAGACAGACAUACCCACAUACAAAACACUCCACACACACAAUAUGCACACGUACUAACACACAUAGACAUAGAGACACACACACACACACACGGAUGCGCACGCACACACACACAACACACACACACACACACACGUACACAGACAAGUACGCACACACACACACGCUCAGUGAGAGCACACAUUUAGGAUAAAGGAGAGAGAAGCACAGGUCAAAUAUAACAGAUAAUAAAUUCCUAUAUGCAAUAUUAAUUAAGUAAAACUUUAAAAUUCUAAAGCAGCCCCCCCGGUCAGGCAGAUAGUGCAAAAACAGUAUGCAAACGGUGGCGAGGAACCCAAAACUCUAAUCGAGAAAAAAAACCUCAGGAGAACCCAGGCCCAACCAGGGGAUUCCAGUUCCCCUCUGGCAAAAGCUGCUGCCUCUGCACAAGCUCCAGAGAACUU
Triplophysa rosa is the source of this 1118-nucleotide long non-coding RNA. RefSeq lists it as uncharacterized. The record is from RefSeq and is a predicted model, not a curated record. The transcript has 3 exons. Lineage: Eukaryota; Metazoa; Chordata; Actinopteri; Cypriniformes; Nemacheilidae.